Molecule: long non-coding RNA, 1617 nt
Filed under: Trifolium pratense (red clover)
Lineage: Eukaryota; Viridiplantae; Streptophyta; Magnoliopsida; Fabales; Fabaceae
Description: long non-coding RNA (TPRA_LNC014168)
Source: RNAcentral
UGCCAUUGGCAAUUAAGAAGAUUGGAAAUCUAUGAAAACUAUAAUAACUAAUCAAAAUUAUCAUAAUCUAGCAUCAUUGUGAACAAAGAGGACAAUAAACUAUAAUAACUUUGGAUUGUAAAAUCCAACAAAAAUUGGAGAAUAAAGAAAUUGUGAAAAGAAAUUAUCGAAAAUGGUGAAAAAAAUAUGCAUCCAGGAGAUUCAUCAUGACAACAAGUUAAAAAAAAAGUGCCACUUGAUGCAUUUUCAGUAUGUCAUCUUUAGUUUCACACAUAGGAAGGUUCUUCGAACUUAUCACAGCACAUCAUAAAUCAUAAGAAUGAGCAAAGCGAUGAUGUUCAGACAGAUAUGCAGACAUUAAUGAUAUUCAGAAAAGUAAAAGCUUCCAUUUAUCAGUUAAAACCAACUUCAUUUUCUUCCGCUAAGAUUAAUAUGUUCAAUUAUGAAAUUUUAACCACAAAAAUUGUGCUUCUUUCCCUUAUGCGAGUCAAUAAUAGAAUGUCGGGACUAAUCUAACAUAUCAGGACGUUCUCACCAGAAUGAAGCUUGCCGGCUCCUUUAUCAGGUACCGUACCAAUGAAAUUCCAGAUAGUUAUCUCAAAAUUUACAAUGCUUAUGUCAUGAGUUAUAAUAUGGUAAAAACAGACUGCACAGUGGCUUCAUCCAAUUGCUAAACAUUUUCUACAACUAUCAAAAUCUGAAUUUUGUAAAUAUUUGUGGGAUAUGUAGGGCAAUGUUAAAGAACGAUAAAUUAUAUACUUAGGUAGAAAUAGGAUAUGACACACACUUUUCCUAUAUUGUAUAUUUGCACCAGAACAAAAUCUUAAUAGUAAAAUUGACCUAAGGUGCUCUCCAACAUUCUCAGUAAGGCUUGCUGAACACAUUCCCCGAAUACAUCCCUUCCACUGCUCAAACUCUCGGACUACAAAAUAACGACUCGAGUUAACUUCGUAUUUUUAACUUCAAUUAAAUCUGCAUAAUCAUCUUCUUACCAUUUCUUUUCACAAUUUCUUUAUUCUCCAAUUUUUGUUGGAUUUUACAAUCCAAAGUUAUUAUAGUUUAUUGUCCUCGUUGUUCAGAAUGAUGCUAAACUAUGGUAAUUUUGAUUAGUUAUUAUAGUUUUCAUUAAUUUUCAAUCUUCUUAAUUGCCAAUGGCAAUGUAACAUGCUAAAAUUCAAUUGAAAUUAUCAUUAUCAUAUGUAAUUUGUGAACAAACUUGAUCUCUUUUUUUUUUUAAUGGCGAACAAACUUGAUCUCUAAACUAAAAGAAACCUUAAAAAUCAACUAUCACGAAAAGUGAAAGAGAACAAUUACUAUGUGAGAACGAAAAAGAAGAACAAAAUGAACAAAAAUGAAAGCGAGAACAAAAUAGAUGAAUGUGUGAUGAACUUACCAGAGAAAGAAGUGAUGAACAAAAGAUGAAGAGAAGAGAAGCGUUAAUCAGAGUUUAAGCGCUUCAGUGUUUGUAGAGAAAGGAUAAGCGCUUCGGCCGUUUGUGAAUAAGCGAUUUUAUUUUUAUUGUGAGUGAAUAAGCGAUUUGCAAAAGAGGAAAAGCGUUUAAGCUUUUGUGAAUAAACCAGUCCUGAACCGGUUUAAUGAGAUUUACCUUUUCUGAAG